AGCCAUGCAUGUUUCCGCAAUCAGGGACGAAUAGCUCAGUAAAACUGCGAUGAUUUAGUCUGGCUGUGUAGAUAACUACGUGAAAAUGUAGCUAAGGGAAGGCAGAAUAAGACGCAGGACUAUCAGUUAGUUGGUAGUGUAAUGGACUACCAAGACAGUGACGGUUGACGGGAAAUUAGGGUUUUGUACCGGAGAGGGAGCCUGAGAGAUUGCUCCCACGUCCAAGGACGGCAGCAGGCGCGAAAAUUGCCCACUCUUUGCAGGAGGCAGUUAUGAGACGUGAAGAUGAGUAUCUUGUAAAGAGGGAUAGGAGAAUUGGAGGGCAAGUUUGGUGCCAGCAGCCGCGGUAAUACCGACUCCAAGAGUGUGUAUGAGAGAUGCUGCAGUUAAAAAGUCCGUAGUCAUAGAAGGGCAAAGAGAGAUGCGAGGUCUCACAGUGCGAUGAUGGAGGAGCCGAUGGGGAACAUAGUAUACCAGGGCGAGAGA
Molecule: ribosomal RNA, 486 nt
Filed under: Vittaforma corneae
Lineage: Eukaryota; Fungi; Microsporidia; Nosematidae
Description: SSU rRNA
Rfam family: Microsporidia small subunit ribosomal RNA
Source: RNAcentral